RNAcentral lists this long non-coding RNA (645 nucleotides) under Mus spicilegus (steppe mouse). RNAcentral describes it as "lncRNA (ENSMSIG00000019495.1)". Lineage: Eukaryota; Metazoa; Chordata; Mammalia; Rodentia; Muridae. The record is from RNAcentral.
GUCGAGUACAUCACAAUGAUGGCUGAUCCAUGCAUCUGCCACAUGCCUCUGAUGGGGCCAGGGUGAGCCAGAGACGCCUUUGAGUGCAGGAAUGCCCCUGGGUCAUGUCUGCCUCCUCCCAGCCCUGAGCACUAUCUGUCACUAGCCAGGCGUCACGCAUGGAGGGAAGAGAUUGUUUGCCCAGCAGAUGGUCCAGUCUCAGGUUGUACAAAGAGCGCUGAGGCUGACAGCCCUGGGAGAUCUCUGUGCUGGCUGCAGGUGGGACAUCCCUUCUCAGUUUUGAAGUUCCAGCAGUGUAUGCGGCAGGCUCAGCUAUGGUUGGUGGACAUUUCUUUUGAGACCCAGAUUGAGACUUUGAGCUCAGCCGGACCAUGGUGGCAUACGCAGGAUCCCAGGUACCCAAGGAAGGGAUGGCCGGGCUGACCAGGAAGCAGAACAAGGCAUAUUCUCAGACUCGAAGUAGCUGCCUGCUGAUAAAGGAGAUUAAGGCAAAGAAACCGGAGUGGCUUAAACGUACUGAAACAGUAGAACAUAUACAGAAGACAUGUCUACAGGGACUACACAGCUGUAGUCACCAAACAGCGUGGUGCUGGUGACAGGGUACAUAAAUACAUAAAGGAAUAAAAGCAUUUACACACAGACUCA